GAUGAACGCUAGCGGCAGGCUUAACACAUGCAAGUCGAGGGGUAUUGGUUUUCGGACCAAGAGACCGGCGCACGGGUGCGUAACGCGUAUGCAAUCUACCUUUUGCAGAGGGAUAGCCCCAGAGAAAUUUGGAUUAAUACCUCAUAGUAUAGUACUUUGGCAUCAAGGAACUAUUAAAGUCACAACGGCAAAGAUGAGCAUGCGUCCCAUUAGCUAGUUGGUAAGGUAACGGCUUACCAAGGCUACGAUGGGUAGGGGUCCUGAGAGGGAGAUCCCCCCANACUGGUACUGAGACACGGACCAGACUCCUACGGGAGGCAGUAGUGAGGAAUAUUGGUCAAUGGGGCGCAAGCCUGAACCAGCCAUGCCGCGUGCAGGAAGACGGUCCUAUGGAUUGUAAACUGCUUUUANACAGGAAGAAACACUCCCUCGUGAGGGAACUUGACGGUACUGUAUGAAUAAGCAUCGGCUAACUCCGUGCCAGCAGCCG
This 490-nucleotide ribosomal RNA is filed under the name uncultured bacterium. Its description in RNAcentral is "bacterial SSU rRNA". It matches the Rfam family "Bacterial small subunit ribosomal RNA", at positions 28 to 517 of the family's 1533-position model. The record is from RNAcentral.